AUACGAAGGGUGCAAGCGUUAAUCGGAAUUACUGGGCGUAAAGCGUGCGUAGGCGGUUUGUUAAGUCAGAUGUGAAAGCCCCGGGCUCAACCUGGGAACUGCAUUUGAUACUGGCAAGCUAGAGUGUGGUAGAGGGUGGUGGAAUUCCCGGUGUAGCGGUGAAAUGCGUAGAGAUCGGGAGGAACAUCCGUGGCGAAGGCGGCCACCUGGACUGAUACCGACACUGAGGUGCGAAAGCGUGGGGAGC
Molecule: ribosomal RNA, 247 nt
Filed under: uncultured bacterium
Lineage: Bacteria
Description: partial 16S ribosomal RNA
Rfam family: Bacterial small subunit ribosomal RNA
Source: RNAcentral